RNAcentral lists this ribosomal RNA (465 nucleotides) under Vreelandella stevensii. RNAcentral's name for it is "partial 16S ribosomal RNA". It matches the Rfam family "Bacterial small subunit ribosomal RNA", at positions 338 to 795 of the family's 1533-position model. The record is from RNAcentral. Lineage: Bacteria; Pseudomonadati; Pseudomonadota; Gammaproteobacteria; Oceanospirillales; Halomonadaceae.
CCUACGGGCGGCUGCAGUGGGGAAUAUUGGACAAUGGGCGAAAGCCUGAUCCAGCCAUGCCGCGUGUGUGAAGAAGGCCUUCGGGUUGUAAAGCACUUUCAGUGGGGAAGAAAGCCUUGGGGCUAAUACCCUCGAGGAAGGACAUCACCCACAGAAGAAGCACCGGCUAACUCCGUGCCAGCAGCCGCGGUAAUACGGAGGGUGCGAGCGUUAAUCGGAAUUACGGGGCGUAAAGCGCGCGUAGGCGGUCUGAUAAGCCGGUUGUGAAAGCCCCGGGCUCAACCUGGGAACGGCAUCCGGAACUGUCAGGCUAGAGUGCAGGAGAGGAAGGUAGAAUUCCCGGUGUAGCGGUGAAAUGCGUAGAGAUCGGGAGGAAUACCAGUGGCGAAGGCGGCCUUCUGGACUGACACUGACGCUGAGGUGCGAAAGCGUGGGUAGCAAACAGGAUUAGAUACCCCGGUAGUC